GGAUGCGAUCAUAGCAGCACUAAAGCACCGGAUCCCAUCAGAACUCCGAAGUUAAGCGUGCUUGGGCGAGAGUAGUACUAGGAUGGGAGAACUCCGAAGUUAAGCGUGCUUGGGCGAGAGUAGUACUAGGAUGGGUGACCUCCUGGGAAGUCCUCGUGUUGCAUCCC
Molecule: ribosomal RNA, 167 nt
Filed under: Oryza sativa Indica Group (long-grained rice)
Lineage: Eukaryota; Viridiplantae; Streptophyta; Magnoliopsida; Poales; Poaceae
Source: RNAcentral